This 427-nucleotide ribosomal RNA is filed under the name uncultured archaeon. RNAcentral's name for it is "bacterial SSU rRNA". It matches the Rfam family "Archaeal small subunit ribosomal RNA", at positions 474 to 903 of the family's 1478-position model. The record is from RNAcentral.
UACCUGAGCCACGAAUGGUGAUCAUUUUUAUUGGGUCUAAAGUGUCCGUAGCCGGCUUAGCAAGUUUCUGGUGAAAUCUGGCAGCUAACUGUCAGGCGUGCUGGAAAUACUACUAGGCUUGAGAUCGGGAUAGGAUAGGGGUAUUCCACGUGUAGGGGUUAAAUCCUUUGAUCCGUGGAGGACCACCGGUGGCGAAGGCGCCUAUCUGGAACGAGUCUGACGGUGAGGGACGAAAGCCAGGGGAGCAAAUGGGAUUAGAUACCCCAGUAGUCCUGGCCGUAAACGAUGUCCGCUUGGUGUUGCUUGCCUUACGAGGGUAUGCAGUGCCGGAACGUAGGUGUUAAGCGGACCACCUGGGAAGUACGGUCGCAAGGCUGAAACUUAAGGGAAUUGGCGGGGAGCACACAAGGGGUGGAGGCUGCGGUUC